Non-coding RNA from Tetranychus urticae (two-spotted spider mite), 2024 nucleotides. NCBI's taxonomy places the organism in Eukaryota, Metazoa, Arthropoda, Arachnida, Trombidiformes, Tetranychidae. The record is from RefSeq and is a predicted model, not a curated record.
AUUUACCCAACAACCCAAGUGGAACAUUUUCCGUAAAUUAUUUCCAAUUAGUAAUGAAUUGCUACAAACUAAUAUAAUUGAAUUUACAAGCAAAAUUGUCCAGUCUUAAUAUUUACCUCAAAAAGUGAAAAUCAACUUAUCCAUCGAUGUAAACAGUUGCUGUGUCAUUAACUUGACUGAUCUAUCUGAUUGUCUACAAGUUUGUUUUCUGAUUUCAUUUGGCUUAAAAUGAAUGGUUGGAUGAAAAGAGACUUCAAUUAUAUUCCAUGUUUCGAAAGGAGACGAAAAAAUUACCAAAUGGAAGAUACUUAUAAUGUGAAAUCUCUUUCAAGAACAAAUUUGUGGAAAUUACAAUCUAAUGCUUAUGUCAUGAAAUCGUUGAAUAUUUCAUGAUAAUAAUAGUAACAUUGGCAACUCUUUCAUUGGAAAUUUCCUUGCUCCAGGAUUUCAAGUCUGUGAUAUUUAUAUAUUUAACAGACGAUUGGUGAUAUGAUCUUGAAAUUAAUGUUAUCACAGUUAUACAAUCACUUGUAUCUGUAGUGGAUUAAUCCUACAAUGUUAUUCUCAUUCUUGAUGACUAAACAACAACACUUGUUGAAUAUCCAUUGAACUGAAGGCAAGAAUUUGAAUUUUCACUCGCAACUUCAACUUUCCUUUUUCGGUUAAGAGUUAAACAACACAAGUUACUAGCGGUAAGCAAUUGACCCAUUAUACUGAUUCCAAACCAAGUACUGACUAAACUGCCGCUGAAGAUUAGGUAAUCUGAGAGAGGAAAGUCUUCUUUGCUUUCUGUUAAAGAGUCAAAUUCAGAUGAGACAAUAAAGUAAAACCUGAACGAUUCUUCACCUAUCUUGACAUCUUGAGGUGUUGUAGCCAUUGUGAAUGAAUAACGAACUGAGUUGCACAUCGGUUGAGUAACAAGAGAUUCACAAGUUUCGAAAAUUUCGAGCAAUGAAUCAUCGUCGGUGUCGUUGUACAAUGAAGAAGCGAAAUGCAUUCCAUUUGAUUGACUAUACUUUUCUAAGUCUACGGUAGUUUCAGGAUAAAGCAGUCCUGUUCGUGCAAGUGAGUGGUUAUUAAGGCAAUCUUCAAAGACUUGACGUCGAUCAUAGUUUUUGCACAUCGUUUUGUACGGAGCAGGCAACAAGUUUAACGUAUGUUUCGUGAAGCGAAUCCCGAGUGAAACCUGUUUGCCCUUAUUAUUUGCAGCAAAGGCAUAAAAACUAUUGUCUUCAACCAAAGCCUUUCCCGGAUAAACGAGUUUCACUAGCAUUGCCGUCGCAUUCAAAGGGAAUCCUAAAAAAUAGUUAGUUCUGUAGACAGCGGCUCUUGCUCGUGAUACUUUUAAUGGCGAACCAGUCGAGUCCAAGCACGAAAUCACCAGAACUAAAUAUGCUGCUGAAGCUCUACGUUUUAAUCUACAUUCGCCAAUCUCGACUGGAUCCUCUUCUGAUUCAGACCAAUGAAGUCUCGAUAUAAACUUUUCAAUCGGAUACGAGUGCUUGGCAAUAUCAGACAGUAACAGUGAUGGGCCAAAUUUUUUAGAAAAUAAGACGACAUUUGUUAUGUAAUCAUUACAGUCCUUCUUUCCUGUAAAGUACAUGCAAGUCGACUCGAAGCUUGAUUUAUAUUUUCGUUUCAAAAAGUUAAUAUCGAACGCGAACUGAUAUGGAAUUAGAAUAUGAUUUUAGGCAGUUCAAUUUGAUUCGCAAUAUAAUUGGUAACUUCUUUACGAAUAUUAAAUUGAAGAUAAUUUUGGGUCAACAGAUACAACUGAAAGGAAAAAACGACACUGCAAAAGGUUCGGAUUGAGAGCGUGAAGAUUUUCUUGAACACUGGAAUCAUUUUCAUGAAUUUCCAAAUGCCCUGAAAAUACCUUAUAUUAGAGAAAUGAACACAAAAAACAUAAAAUGACUCAAUAUCUACCAUUUAUUGUCAAACGAUUGACCAAAAAUUAAUCAAAAUGAUCAUGUAUUCAUUUGUGUCAAUACUUUAAUUUUUUAUACAAAAUAAAUUCUCAUCAA